RNAcentral lists this ribosomal RNA (927 nucleotides) under Triticum aestivum (bread wheat). Its description in RNAcentral is "partial small subunit ribosomal RNA". The record is from RNAcentral. Lineage: Eukaryota; Viridiplantae; Streptophyta; Magnoliopsida; Poales; Poaceae.
AUGGGCAAUCGGCCUCCUCUAAUCCCCAAGGGCAGCCGGCCCACUCCCUGCAGCAGCCGGCAGGAGAAAGUGCGAGGCGCAGCCGGACCGCCAGCUGCGGGGCGGAAGGCGGACCUGGCCGUUGGGCAGAGCAGGCCGACCCGGCCGCGCGAGAAGCAAGCGGAGCCGGCCGCCGCGAGUCGGGUGGAGGCGGAGGAGGCUGGCGCGGUGGGAGCCGACCACCCAGAGUCGGCGAGGGGCAAGCGCGCCCGCUGCAGGCGGACGACAGAGCCGGCCACCCAGAGUCGGCGAGGGGCAAGCACGCCCGCUGCAGGCGGACGGCAGAGCUGGCGAAUCGGCAAGCCGGCCUGUGAGCGGAGACGGCGCCGGAAGCCGGGAGCAGGCGCGCGGAGCAGUCGAAGACGGCAGGCGGCGCGGGGCGAGCAGCGCGACCGAGUGCAGAAGCAGCCGCGUCGAGUCGGAUGUAGGGCCGGAGGGCUGGGCGCCGGACGGGCCGGGGGGAGCCGGCGCGAGACGGCAGGCGAGGCGGAGCCGGUUGAAGGUGAAGUCAGCGGACGGCGAGCCGGCCCGGCGCGUGGACGGGAGGCGGAGCCGAAGGAGCAGCUGGGGCUGGGCCCCGGCCAGCGAGCGCGCGCGAGGUCCGGAGCCGCACCUGGUGCUGCCGGAUGGAGAUGGCGCAGCAGCGCGGGAGGAGCCGCACCCGGCGCUGCGGUGCGGGACGACCCGGACCCGGUGCUGGUGACAAGCCGGAGCGGAGGAUCCGGCACGCGCCGGAGUCAGAGCCGGCGGGCCGCAGGAGGCUGGAGCCAGAGCCGGUGCGUGCGGGCACGCAUGUCGUGGCGGACUGGCGAAGCCAGCAGGGUGGGGUACCCGGCCACGGGUAAGGCGACCAGAUGGAUCCGGCGGGGCGGAAACCAGCUCACGUGA